AUUGAACGCUGGCGGAAUGCUUUACACAUGCAAGUCGAACGGUAGAGGGGGCAACCCCUUGAGAGUGGCGAACGGGUGAGUAAUAUAUCGGAACGUGCCCAGUCGUGGGGGAUAACGUAGUGAAAAUUACGCUAAUACCGCAUACGAUCUAAGGAUGAAAGCGGGGGAUCGCAAGACCUCGCGCGAUUGGAGCGGCCGAUAUCAGAUUAGGUAGUUGGUAGGGUAAAGGCCUACCAAGCCAACGAUCUGUAGCUGGUCUGAGAAGACGACCAGCCACACGGGAACUGGGACACGGUCCAGACUCCUACGGGAGGCAGCAGUGGGGAAUUUUGGACAAUGGGCGAAAGCCUGAUCCAGCCAUUCCGCGUGCAGGAUGAAGGCCCUCGGGUUGUAAACUGCUUUUGUACAGAACGAAAAGGUCUCUAUUAAUACUAGGGGCUCAUGACGGUACUGUAAGAAUAAGCACCGGCUAACUACGUGCCAGCCGCCGCCGUAA
This 496-nucleotide ribosomal RNA is filed under the name uncultured bacterium. RNAcentral's name for it is "partial 16S ribosomal RNA". It matches the Rfam family "Bacterial small subunit ribosomal RNA", at positions 30 to 523 of the family's 1533-position model. The record is from RNAcentral.